AGUGGACUGACAUCUGAGCCCUCAGUAGAACUGAACUAGGUAGAGUGGACUAACAUCUGAGCCCUCAGUAGAACUGAACUAGGUAGAGUGGACUAACAUCUGAGCCCUCAGUAGAACUGAACUAGGUAGAGUGGACUGACAUCUGAGCCCUCAGUAGUACUGAACUAGGUAGAGUGGACUGACAUCUGAGCCCUCAGUAGUACUGAACUAGGUAGAGUGGACUGACAUCUGAGCCCUCAGUAGAACUGAACUAGGUAGAGUGGACUAACAUCUGAGCCCUCAGUAGAACUGAACUAGGUAGAGUGGACUGACAUCUGAGCCCUCAGUAGUACUGAACUAGGUAGAGUGGACUGACAUCUGAGCCCUCAGUAGAACUGAACUAGGUAGAGUGGACUAACAUCUGAGCCCUCAGUAGAACUGAACUAGGUAGAGUGGACUGACAUCUGAGCCCUCAGUAGAACUGAACUAGGUAGAGUGGACUAACAUCUGAGCCCUCAGUAGAACUGAACUAGGUAGAGUGGACUGACAUCUGAGCCCUCAGUAGAACUGAACUAGGUAGAGUGGACUAACAUCUGAGCCCUCAGUAGUACUGAACUAGGUAGAGUGGACUAACAUCUGAG
Oncorhynchus keta (chum salmon) is the source of this 620-nucleotide long non-coding RNA. RefSeq lists it as uncharacterized. The transcript has 3 exons. Lineage: Eukaryota; Metazoa; Chordata; Actinopteri; Salmoniformes; Salmonidae. The record is from RefSeq and is a predicted model, not a curated record.